ACUUCGCGGAAUGUUUCACAUGCAGUCGAGCGGUAGCCCUUUCGGGGGUUGAGAGCGGCGAACGGGUGAGUAAUGCAUCGGAACGUACCUAGUCGUGGGGGAUAACGUAGCGAAAGUUACGCUAAUACCGCAUACGUCCUACGGGAGAAAGCAGGGGAUCGCAAGACCUUGCGCGAUUGGAGCGGCCGAUGUCUGAUUAGCUAGUUGGUAGGGUAAAGGCCUACCAAGGCUUCGAUCAGUAGCGGGUCUGAGAGGAUGAUCCGCCACACUGGGACUGAGACACGGCCCAGACUCCUACGGGAGGCAGCAGUGGGGAAUUUUGGACAAUGGGGGCAACCCUGAUCCAGCCAUUCCGCGUGAGUGAAGAAGGCCUUCGGGUUGUAAAGCUCUUUCGGCAGGAACGAAACGGUCCGCUCUAACAUAGCGGACUACUGACGGUACCUGAAGAAGAAGCACCGGCUAACUACGUGCCAGCAGCUGCGGUAAUACGUAGGGUGCGAGCGUUAAUCGGAAUUACUGGGCGUAAAGCGUGCGCAGGCGGCUUUUUAAGCCAGAUGUGAAAUCCCCGGGCUUAACCUGGGAACUGCAUUUGGAACUGGAAGGCUAGAGUGCGGCAGAGGGGGGUAGAAUUCCACGUGUAGCAGUGAAAUGCGUAGAGAUGUGGAGGAAUACCGAUGGCGAAGGCAGCCCCCUGGGUCGACACUGACGCUCAUGCACGAAAGCGUGGGGAGCAAACAGGAUUAGAUACCCUGAUAGUCCACGCCCUAAACGAUGUCAACUAGUUGUUGGAGGAGUGAAAUCCUUUAGUAACGAAGCUAACGCGUGAAGUUGACCGCCUGGGAGUACGGUCGCAAGAUU
Molecule: ribosomal RNA, 858 nt
Filed under: uncultured bacterium
Lineage: Bacteria
Description: bacterial SSU rRNA
Rfam family: Bacterial small subunit ribosomal RNA
Source: RNAcentral